Long non-coding RNA from Callithrix jacchus (white-tufted-ear marmoset), 7209 nucleotides. RefSeq lists it as uncharacterized. The record is from RefSeq and is a predicted model, not a curated record. NCBI's taxonomy places the organism in Eukaryota, Metazoa, Chordata, Mammalia, Primates, Cebidae.
AGUGACCAGGUUGUGGGUUCUCCUGUGAUAGCCAUCUGAGAAUGUAGUUCUCUGUUUUUUACUUGGUUCUAGUCAGAAAACGUGGUCUGUGUUAGACGCCCUAGGGGACAAAGUGAAUUAGACCCGGCCCUGACUCCAGGCUGCCCCCUCUUCUCUGUUAUUCCUCCCAUUGCAGCUUACAGGUGUCUCGGUCAGAAUCUUAGGAAGUGGGGUCUGCCUAUGAGAAUAAAAAAAAACUCCCCAGGUGUUUCUAACGUAUAGCUGUUUUUUGUUGGGAAUCACUACAUUAAAUUACCUCAAAGAUUCUUGCCAUUUCAGAUAUUUUUUGGUUUCCUGUUUUUCUAAAAUUUUAAUUUUUUUGUAGAGGUGAGGCCUCCCUAUGUUGCCCAGGCUAGUCUCAAACUCUUGGGCUCAAGCUAUCCUCCCACCUCCCAAAGUGGGGAGCCUUGCUAGCCUCCCAAAGUGUUAGGAUUACAGGCCUGAGCCACGGUGCCUAGCUUCCCCUAAUUCUUGAGCUCUUCUAGAUCCACUAGAUUCUCUUUCACCAACCUGAAGUAGGAUCAUUUUAGUUAGGGUCAGAUUAUUGUCUUCAAUCCCAAGUGACGCUGUUCUUUUGUGACCACUAAACCCCACAAAGAUUUUUUUUUUCUGAUUUCAAGACUUCCCCUCCUAACUCAUUCUGCAAAUUUUAUUGAACUUCUACUAUAUGCCAGAGGCCCGAUUCUAGGCACUGGGGAGAAAUACAAUGGUGCAGACAAGGAGCCUUUUCUCAUGGAGCUUACAUUCUAGAGUCGGAUCCAGAUCAGUAUGAAUUUCCUACUUAUUUUGUUUGAAUCUCUUUCCUAAACUGUCAACUGUAUUCUUCUGGUUACUCAUUCCUACUUCAUCCUAGGGCAGAAACAUAAAUUAAGUCCAUUUUUAUACUUGGUGUUAUGCACUGGAUGUUUUUGUCCCUCUCAAAUUUAUAUGUUGAAAUGUAAUCCCUAAUGUGGUGGAUUGGAGGUGAGGCCUUUGGGAGGUAAGUAGGUGAUGAGGAAAGAACCCUCAUGAAUGGAACUAGUGCCUUAUACAAAGAGGCAGGAGACCUAGCUCCUCUGCUUGCCACCUUGGGAGGAUACAACACAAAAUUGGCAGUUUGCGACCUGGAAGAGAGUCUUUGCCAGCACCUCACCAUGCUGGCGCCCUGAUCUCUGACUUUCAGCCUCCAGAAUGGUGGGAAAUUUCUGUUGUUUGUAAGCCACCCAGUCUACAUUACUUUGUUAUAGCAGCUGGCUAAGACACUUGUUUAUCUUACCUCUGUAGGAAAAUGAUAAAUCAGAUAAUGGCAACCACUGUGAAUUGCAGUAUCUCAAGGAUAUUAUGGGAUCUCCAUGGCAGAUCAGUGUGGAAAUGGAUGUGGACGCAGUGCUGCUGCCUGAGAUUAGCAGGAAGCAAUUCUUUUCCCAUUUGGAGAGACCCCAGUGAGACCUGAUCAACUAGCAACAUGCGGAAGUCACACCAUUAAAUCUUCCAAUUUGCUAGCAGCAAAUCAAUGAACUCUGAUAGCUGCUGCCCUAAGCUAGCAUCCAGGGAACUGUGGACAAGCUAUCUGAUACCUGAAUUUUAGUGAAGGAACGUUAAUUUUUUUUCUUAAGGCAGGGAAGGAGUGGGGUUGUGUGGGAAGAUUAUAUUAAGCAGUGAGAGAAGACAGUUGGAGUUUUGUAAAAAGAGAGCUGGUCGUUUCAAAUUGUAUCUUUACUUAAAAUUAUUGAAGAGUUGUUGGUAAUUAGUGUUUUGUUGUUAUGUGUUUAUAGCAACCAAUUAAUAAGAAAGGCUUUUGUUUUUAUUUCAUUAAUUGGAGCUGAGCUUUAUUUUUUAUUAUAAAUACAAGGCAUUAUUCUAGGGCCUGGCAAACAUAGGCAGCCCCCCUUUUUUCUGAGCAAGAUUAUAUCUUGGUAUGUUUUCACCACCAUGAGAUGAAAAUUUGAGAAUACCAAGAGACAGAUACUUGCCUGAGGAGUUUUAUUUUCCCUUUAAUCCUUAUCAUAUCCAGAUAUUAGCUAUAUUGCCUCGACCUGCUGUCUGAAGGUGGGUUUCUUCGAUUGUUUGAAGAGUUCUGGGCACUGGAGGUGCUUACUUUGUGAUGAGAGCAAAUAACAGGAUGUUGCCCAUGACACGGUCAAGCCUCUUCUUCAGCUAACCACCUGUCCUGGACAUCUUUUCAUAGAGAUAUACCUCAUCCCUUUUAAUAACUGCAGAAUCUUGGACAUUUAGAGAUCUCCAAUACUGGUUGUCAUUUAUGGUGUAUUUUUUUAUUAUGAUAAUGUUGCAAUAAAUAUCCUAGCAACCUAUUUUUGCUUACAUGUAGCAUAUUUUUGAAGGAUAAAUUCCUUCAUGUGAAAUUGAAGGGUCAAAGUAUAAAUGGAUUAAAAUUUCAAUAUUAGUUAAUUGUCCUACAGUGGAAUUACAACAAUUUAUACUUCCACCAAGAAUUCAUGAAAGUCUGCCUUACUAUGUAACAUUUCUAAUCUUUCUCAAUCUGAUAUGGAGAAACAUGUUUUAUUGUUCUAAUUUUUUUUUCAUUAAAAGAGAGACUUUGAAUACCCCUUAUCUCUUUAUAUGUUUCAAAAACACUUGUAGGCCAGGUGUGGUGGCUCACUCUUGUAAUUCUAGCACUUUGGGAAGCGAGACGAUUGCUGGAAACUAGAAGUUUGAGACCAACCUAGGUAAUAUAGGGAGACUCUAACUCUACAAAAAAAUAAAAAAAUUAAGCGGGCAUGGUGGUGUGUGCCUGUGGUGCUAGCUGCUCAGGAGGCUGAUGAUGGAAGGACUGCUUGAGCCUGGGAAAUGGAGGUUGUAGUGAGCUGUGAUGUCACCCUUGCACUCCAGCUUGGGCAACAGAGUGAGACCCCAUCUCAAAACAAAACAAAACUUUUUUUUUUUUCAGUGAAUGUCUCUUUAUAGAUUUCACUUUCUAAAAAUUGUUGGCAUUUUAUUUGAUUGACUGUAAAGCUCAUUAUAUGUUAAGCAAUUUAGACUUUUUUUUUUUUGAGAUGGAGUCUCUGUCACUUACGCUGGAGUGCAGUGGAGUGAUCUUGGCUCACUGCAACCUCCACCUCCCAGGUUCAAGCAAUUCUCGCACCUCAGCCUCCCUAGUAGCUGGGAUUAAAGGCACCUCACGUCAUGCCCAGCUAAUUUUUGUAUUUUUGUAGAGGCGGGUUUCACCAUGUUGCCCAGGCUGGUCUUGAAUUCCUGACCUCAGGUGAUCCACCUUUCUCAGCCUCCCAAAGUGCUGGGAUUACAGAUGUGAGCCACUGCUCCUGACCAAAUUUAGACUUUUAAAACCAAAUUUUGAAGGUUGGUUUAAAAAAAAAAGUAAAUGACUGGAUCAUGUUCUAAGUACUCAUGGUCUCAGCCUAACCCGGUUGCAAAAGGCCUAGCCAAAGGCUCUCUGCUCAGUGAAAGUUCCAUGAAUCUCAGGAUUGGAGGAUAGUCUGGGAACACCUAACCUGCACAUGCAAAUCUGUGAAGAAAGACGAAGUGUUAGGCUUAUGUGGAGCUAAAUAGUUGCAUGUUUAAUGCAAUGGCACGGGUACAGGUAAUGGUGAUUGGAGUUGGAGGGGUGAUUGUGUGGUGGGUGAGGAAGUCAGGGCUGAGUCUUAGGUGGAAUCAAUGAGUGUUGUGUAUUUAGGCAUCUGAGGGAUAGAACGCUUAUGACAGGGUUUAUUUUCAUUCUCUUUCAAGGACAGCCAUGCUGCCUUGCUGCUUCUUGCUGGUGUACACAGAACACUUGGAGUCCUACGAAUCCCUUUUGAUGCUGGUGCCUUUCAAGGCCAGGGCUUUGCUUCUGCUCAGAGGAUGCUUGCCCAGGCCCUACCAGACUCUCUUGGGGUGAGAGGCAAAUUUUCUUUCCAAUGCUCUGUGUGGGCCCCACAAGGCAUUUUCUUUCAUUUUGGAUUCUGUCCUAGCUCCCCAUGAAAGCUAAUGGCUAUUGGAAUUAACCCAAAUUUUCUCCUUUGGUAUUUAUAAAAAGAAACACUGAAAAACCUUGAAAUUAACUAACAAUUUUUUUAAAAAAAACAUGGAUAGGUUAAUUCUUUCCUGGAGAUGAUUCUUUCUUCUCAAAUAGGCCGCUUUACAGACUGGAAAUCACCCCAGUCUUCAAAGCCUAAUAUUUUUCACAUAUGAUUCCAGCAAAUGGCUGUUUGCAUGAUACCUUGGUGGGGACUCACUUAAGAGCUAGAUUUGUUAGUGUAUUUACUGACAUUUUCACAUGAUGUUUUGAGCUGCCUGAAUAAUUGUAAUAUUUAUCAGAGAAAGAUCAAAGUGAUGAAAGGUACCUACAAUUAUUCAUAUCUCAACAUUACAAGCCUUAAUUUCCUGCCUGAAGUGUGGUGAAUUACUCAUUUUUAAAGUCAUCUAUAGCCACUGAGAGUUUAUGGUGAAGUAUAUAGAUGUUUUGUAGAUUCCAAAAAAAAUCAAUGACUAUGAAUAUCACAGACUGUCAAAAGAGCUGAUGUGAUUAUAAAAUAAUGAGAUCAACUAAAUACAGCAGCUCUCAGACAUCCAAAUUGUAAGAGGAAAAUGAAGACGAGAGAGGGGGAAGUGAAUUGCUUAAUAUCUUGUGGGUACCAAAUAAUAGUCUGUAUCUGCCUCUGCCACGCCAAAGAUUUUGCACUGUUACCUACACACCCAUCCAUUCCCCUUUUUGCAGGCUUUGUCAGGCCAGGAGAUGGUUUUGCAGCAGCAGCAGAUUAUAAACCAGGCUUUGGGAGACAGGCUCUCUGGUUUGUUCUGGCUAUCCACACUCUGAAAGACAACUGUGACAGCUAUGGGACAACAGCAGUAGCAUCCUACGGUUGCUGAUAUCUAGAUGCAGUAUGGCCAUUACUGUGUGACACAUGUGGACACUGACCCUCAGAGAUGUCAGGAGUCAGAGAGAAUCAGGGGAGGCUGGAAGAUCAGCAACGACUGUACAAACACCGAGUAAGAAACGCGGGACUCUAUGGAGACAACCCAGUCUUUUCUAUGGCUAUUUCUUCAUGGAUUCUGUGGUAGGUAGAAUAACUGUCCUCCAAAGACAUUCACAUCCUAAAUUGUGGAAACCGUGGGUAUGUUAUCUAAUACGGUGGAAAGGAUUUUGCAGAUAUAUAAGAAUUUUGAGAGGGGAAAAUUCUCCUGGGCUAUUUGGGUGGGCCCAAUGUGGUCAAAAAGAUCUUUUUUUGUAAGGGAGAGAGAGAAAUAUGAGAGUUAGAGAAUGAGAUGUGAUGAUGGGCAAGGAUUGCAAAGACAUGGGACCAUGAGCCAAGGAAUGUGGGAAGGGCAAUGGAACAUCUUCUUCAUCUAAAGUUGGAAAGGGUAAGAUUGCAUCUUCUUCUCUAGAGUCACCUGACAGCCCGUCUUAGACUUUUGACUGUGACUGCAGGAUCAGAACUUUGUGCUGUUUUAAUCCACUAAGUUUGUGGUAAUUUGUUAUAGCAGCCACAGGAAACUAAUACAGCAUCUUCGAGGAGUAAGGGGCUGCCCUGCAAAUCUAAAAUUUCAAUUUUUUGAGUUAUUUGGGUAACACAAUUUUAGAGGAUAUUUUUCAAGAACUAUUUGGAUAUGCAUUAAUAACAGUUAUGGGUUUAGUGGUUUGAAGGAAAAAUACAAUGGCAGUAGCAACAGUAAUAGUAAUGGGUAAUAGUUAUUAAGGCUUAUGUGUGCCAAGUGCUGGGUUGGGGUGCGGAUGUACCUUCCCUCUCAUUUUCUAAAACAAUUCUAUGAGACAAUUAUCUUCAUUUUACAGAGGAGGAAAUUGAGCCUGAGAGAGCCAUGUGAUUAGUGGUGGAGCUGGCAUUUGCACACAAAUAUAGAUGACUCUUGACUACGACUUGAAAUGGUUUUUCUACAUAUUUAAUUCAUUGAUGGGAAAGAACAAGUCAUGUGUGAAAGCAGGGACAUGAGCCAAUGAUGAAAGUUGAGACAGGCCUCCUGUGGCCCUAGGGGUGUAUAUUGACUCCGUCCCCACCAUGACAGAGAUGAGGGAUGCUGUCUCCUUUCCAUCUUUCUCUUCUAUCCAUGCCAGCCAGCCGCUUUAUAAAGUACCCACCUUCAGUGCACAGCACUUUCCCCCACUCUUUCUGGCCAAGUGUGACACUUCCCUUAAAAGAAAGCACACAAUUUCAUACUGCACGAUGAGUGUCUUUCCUGCCAGAAACAACAAGGAUGGAGAGGCUGUGGGGCUACUUUAGCUGCCAUAAGUGAGAAGGAUUUUGGGUGAGUGGGAUCAGGAGCAUGUAAGAUGAGAAGACCAAAAUCUUAAUGAGAUGCUGCCCCAACCAGCAUAACCAAAUAUGGUAUCAGAACUGAAAUCAUUCAAAAUAUGACGAGUGCCAUUGUAAAAUGUAAUGCUCUCUACUUCAUAGGGUGGUUAUGUGAAUGGAGUUAAUAAAUGCAGAGUGCUUUGAAUGGUGCUAUAGAAGUGUAGCUGUUACUCUACUGCAGCCACUCUGGAACUACUCCUGCUGCUACCAGCGCCGCUGUUACUAUCGCCACUGCCAUGAUUACUACCACUAUCACAAUUACUCUCACUAUUGCCGUUGACUACCUCUGCUACCAUUGCUGCUGCUGUUGCUACUACUGUACUGUUAUUAUGACAAUUAUUAACACUACUACCAUUACUGUCAAUCUGCAAGCAGAGAAAGUGCUUCCAUUACAAUAAAUAUGCCAACAGACUUCUGUACCUUCAUCAAGGGUGGCUAGAGCACAUCCUCAGGUCAUCCUGGAAUUGCCUGGCAAUAGUUCCCGGUCUGAUUCUUUUCUUUGGGCUGUUGGCAUCCUUUUGCUACUGCUCAGGUUUGGACAAAGUGGCUGUCAUUGCCCCGAGCACUCUGAGGUAGCAACUGUGCCUGCUUCACUAAUCCUUGUCAAUGACAAAUGCUCCUCAAAUCUAUUCCCCAAUGGCCAUUUGAAGUGGACAAACAACUCCACAGCCAUGAAAUAUCAUGCUUUAAAUAGAAGGCACUAUGUCAAAUGCCACCAGCAACUCAGCCUUGGAGCUGCUGAUCUCACACCGAUUCAGAUGCCUUGGAGAUAAUCCUAAGAACUAACCUUUAACAGGUACUUAUUGUGCCGUAUCAAGUGCUGUCCCAGGUACUUAACACAGAUUUAAUUAUUUGACUCUCCAAGAAGUCUUCAAAGUAGUUAUUGCUAUCAAUCACGUUUUACAAAUGAGAAAACUGAGACACA